GCUCUAAUUAGACUAUAAUAAUGGUAAAAAAACGUAAUCAAAUUCAAAACAACUCAAAGAAAUUUCAAACAAACAAUAAAAUUCUUAAAGAAAUAUUAGAAUGAUCACAAAUUUUACUCAAAUAUAUGUCAAUUCAACCUUAAUUUAAUUCUAGUUAAAACCCUAUUGAAUUUCACUCAACUUUAGACCAAACCUAAUUAAAUCUUAAACCCUAAUAAUUCCUAAACCCUAAGUCAAAUCCUAAACAAAUCUUAAAUUAAACCCUAUUCCAAACCCUAAACCCUAAACCAAAUCCUAAAUCAAACCCUAAACCAAACCCUAAUCCAAUCCUAAACUCUAAACCAAACCUUAAAUCAAAUCCUAACCAAAUCCUAAUCCAAACCCUAAAUCAAAUCCAAACCCUAAUCCAACCCUAAAUUCUAAUCCAAAUCCUAAAUCCUAAACCAAACCUUAAAUCAAAUCCUAACCAAACCCUAGUCCAAACUCUAAUCCAAAUCCUAAAUCAAACCCUAAUCAAACCCUAGUCCAAAUUCUAAUCCAAACCCUAAAUCAAACUCUAAUCAAAUCCUAAAUCCUAAUUCAAAUCCUAAUCCAAAUUCUAAUCCAAUCCUAAACUCUAAUCCAAAUCCUAAACCCUAAAUCAAACUUUAAAUCAAACCCUAACCAAACCUUAAUCUAAACCCUAAUCCAAACCCUAAAUC
RNAcentral lists this long non-coding RNA (701 nucleotides) under Physcomitrium patens. Its description in RNAcentral is "long non-coding RNA (PPAT_LNC007887)". Lineage: Eukaryota; Viridiplantae; Streptophyta; Bryopsida; Funariales; Funariaceae. The record is from RNAcentral.